GUCAGGGUGGCCGAGUGGUCUAAGGCACCAGGCUCAAGUUCUGGUCUCGAGAUUGAGGCGUGGGUUCGAAUCCCACUUCUGACC
Non-coding RNA from Nycticebus coucang (slow loris), 84 nucleotides. NCBI's taxonomy places the organism in Eukaryota, Metazoa, Chordata, Mammalia, Primates, Lorisidae. The record is from the annotation of a RefSeq genome assembly.